RNAcentral lists this ribosomal RNA (422 nucleotides) under uncultured bacterium. RNAcentral's name for it is "bacterial SSU rRNA". It matches the Rfam family "Bacterial small subunit ribosomal RNA", at positions 362 to 775 of the family's 1533-position model. The record is from RNAcentral.
UAUUGCGCAAUGGGGGCAACCCUGACGCAGCAACGCCGCGUGAGUGAGGAAGGUUUUCGGACCGUAAAGCUCUGUCGAGCGGGACGAAAUGCAUGGUGGCUAAUAUCCAUCAUGCUUGACGGUACCGCUAAAGGCAGCACCGGCUAACUCCGUGCCAGCAGCCGCGGUAAUACGGGGGGUGCGAGCGUUGUUCGGAAUUAUUGGGCGUAAAGAGCGUGUAGGCGGCCGAAUAAGUCAGAUGUGAAAUCCCUGGGCUUAACCCAGGACGUGCAUUUGAAACUAUUCGGCUAGAGUAGGGGAGAGGAAAGUGGAAUGCCUGGUGUAGAGGUGAAAUUCGUAGAUAUCAGGAGGAACACCGGUGGCGAAGGCGACUUUCUGGCCCUAUACUGACGCUGAGACGCGAGAGCGUGGGUAGCAAACAG